UGGAUUCCCUAACUAUUUUUUAACAGAAAUUCCUUGGUUCAAUAUAAAAAAGAAGAUGUGGUAUGAUUGCCAAUGAGACAACUAUCCACAAAAGACCAAAAUGACACAGACAUUAACAACUAUAGGUCACCGUACGGCCUAUAACAAUGAGCAAAGCCCAUACCGCAUAGUCAGCUACAAAAGGCCCCGAUAAGACAAUGUAAAACAAUUCAAACGAGAAAACUAACGGCCUUAUUUAUGUAAAAAAAAAAUGAACGAAAAACAAAUAUGUAACACAUAAACAAACGACAACCACUGAAUAUACAGGCUCCUGACUUGGGACAGGCACAUACAUAAAAAAUGUGGCGGGGUUAAACAUGUUAGCGGGAUCCCAACCCUCUCCCUAACCUGGGACAGUGGUAUAACAGUACAACAUAAGAACAAACUA
Molecule: long non-coding RNA, 427 nt
Filed under: Mytilus galloprovincialis (Mediterranean mussel)
Lineage: Eukaryota; Metazoa; Mollusca; Bivalvia; Mytilida; Mytilidae
Source: RNAcentral